Capsicum annuum is the source of this 261-nucleotide long non-coding RNA. RefSeq lists it as uncharacterized. The transcript is spliced from 2 exons. The record is from RefSeq and is a predicted model, not a curated record. NCBI's taxonomy places the organism in Eukaryota, Viridiplantae, Streptophyta, Magnoliopsida, Solanales, Solanaceae.
AAGACAGAUCAAUCCAAACUUCAGAGGCUAACUUUAAAGGCCUUACUAGACUAAGGCAUUAGACAAAGAAGGAGAAUAUUAUUUCGUUUUAUGCAACGAAAAGAGAUGCCACUUGGACUAUUAGCGUUAUUAACAACACUAUUUUGGGGAUUAGAGAGCCAAAUUCCUCCUUUCAAUACCACAGUUGCACUAGAUGGAAGUGGAGAUUUCAAGUCCAUAACAGAGGCAUUACAGUCAGCUCCUGAUAACAGUGAAAGAAGA